GACGAACGCUGGCGGCGUGCUUAACACAUGCAAGUCGAACGGAAAGGCCCUGCUUGCAGGGUACUCGAGUGGCGAACGGGUGAGUAACACGUGGGUGAUCUGCCCUGCACUUCGGGAUAAGCCUGGGAAACUGGGUCUAAUACCGGAUAGGAGCCAUUUUUAGUGUGAUGGUUGGAAAGUUUUUUCGGUGUAGGAUGAGCUCGCGGCCUAUCAGCUUGUUGGUGGGGUAAUGGCCUACCAAGGCGGCGACGGGUAGCCGGCCUGAGAGGGUGGACGGCCACAUUGGGACUGAGGGGAGGCCCAGACUCCGAAGGGAGGAAGAAGUGGGGAAUAUUGCACAAUGGGCGCAAGCCUGAUGCAGCGACGCCGCGUGGGGGAUGACGGCCUUCGGGUUGUAAACUCCCUUCGCUAGGGACGAAGCUUUUUGUGACGGUACCUAGAUAAGAAGCACCGGCUAACUACGUG
This 465-nucleotide ribosomal RNA is filed under the name uncultured bacterium. Its description in RNAcentral is "partial 16S ribosomal RNA". It matches the Rfam family "Bacterial small subunit ribosomal RNA", at positions 28 to 507 of the family's 1533-position model. The record is from RNAcentral.